Molecule: small nucleolar RNA, 88 nt
Organism: Kogia breviceps (pygmy sperm whale)
Lineage: Eukaryota; Metazoa; Chordata; Mammalia; Artiodactyla; Physeteridae
Product: small nucleolar RNA U83B
Exons: 1
Source: RefSeq, a predicted model, not a curated record
UAAGUUCUGUGAUGAGGCCCUGGAAUGAGCGCUGGCAAAGCGCCCGAGUCAGACUGCGGAAGUAAAAAAUAAAUAAAUAAAUAAAUUA